CCUACGGGAGGCAGCAGUGAGGAAUAUUGGUCAAUGGGCGGAAGCCUGAACCAGCCAAGUAGCGUGCAGGAUGACGGCCCUACGGGUUGUAAACUGCUUUUAUAUGGGAAUAAAAUGUUCCACGUGUGGGAUUUUGUAUGUACCAUAUGAAUAAGGAUCGGCUAACUCCGUGCCAGCAGCCGCGGUAAUACGGAGGAUCCGAGCGUUAUCCGGAUUUAUUGGGUUUAAAGGGAGCGUAGGUGGAUUGUUAAGUCAGUUGUGAAAGUUUGCGGCUCAACCGUAAAAUUGCAGUUGAAACUGGCAGUCUUGAGUACAGUAGAGGUGGGCGGAAUUCGUGGUGUAGCGGUGAAAUGCUUAGAUAUCACGAAGAACUCCGAUUGCGAAGGCAGCUCACUGGACUGCAACUGACACUGAGGCUCGAAAGUGUGGGUAUCAAACAGGAUUAGAUACCCCAGUAGUC
Molecule: ribosomal RNA, 460 nt
Filed under: uncultured bacterium
Lineage: Bacteria
Description: partial 16S ribosomal RNA
Rfam family: Bacterial small subunit ribosomal RNA
Source: RNAcentral